Molecule: ribosomal RNA, 501 nt
Filed under: uncultured bacterium
Lineage: Bacteria
Description: bacterial SSU rRNA
Rfam family: Bacterial small subunit ribosomal RNA
Source: RNAcentral
AACGAACGCUGGCGGCAUGCCUAACACAUGCAAGUCGAACGGGAUCCACCUUUCGGGGUGGUGAGAGUGGCGGACGGGCGAGUAACACGUGGGAACCUGCCUUUUGGGUUCGGGAUAACCGCGGGAAACUGCGGCUAAUACCGGAUGUACCCGCGAGGGGAAAGAUUUAUCGCCAGAAGAGGGGCCCGCGUCCGAUUAGGUAGUUGGUAGGGUAAAGGCCUACCAAGCCGACGAUCGGUAGCUGGUCUGAGAGGAUGAUCAGCCACACUGGGACUGAGAUACGGCCCAGACUCCUACGGGAGGCAGCAGUGGGGAAUAUUGGACAAUGGGGGCAACCCUGAUCCAGCAAUGCCGCGUGAGUGAUGAAGGGCCUUAGGGUUGUAAAGCUCUUUUGCCAGGGAAGAUGAUGACGGUACCUGGAGAAUAAGCCCCGGCUAANUUCGUGCAGCAGCCGCGGUAAUACGAAGGGGGCUAGCGUUGUUCGGAAUUACUGGGCGUAAA